Molecule: long non-coding RNA, 264 nt
Organism: Xiphias gladius (swordfish)
Lineage: Eukaryota; Metazoa; Chordata; Actinopteri; Istiophoriformes; Xiphiidae
Exons: 2
Source: RefSeq, a predicted model, not a curated record
AGGAACAGCCUUCGCAGACAGUGUGUGCUCUGACUGUAGUGGUGGAACAUUUUCAGAUGGGACAUUUACAUUUUGUCAACCACACACACAAUGUGAAUCAAAAAACCUUCAGCUGAUAAGACCCGGAACUGCUUCAACUGAUGCUGAAUGUGGAGAACACAGUGCAAAAGGGACAGCACUUGUGAUCGUCAUUCCAUUGAUUUUUUUAUUGAUUUUAAUACCAGCUGUAGUUUACUUUGUCAUGAAGAAAACAGAUCUAAAACG